RNAcentral lists this ribosomal RNA (372 nucleotides) under Triticum aestivum (bread wheat). RNAcentral describes it as "partial small subunit ribosomal RNA". Lineage: Eukaryota; Viridiplantae; Streptophyta; Magnoliopsida; Poales; Poaceae. The record is from RNAcentral.
AUGAAAAUUGACAUGAUGAAAGCGUAUGAUCGGGUUGAAUGGAGCUAUCUGCAUGGAUGCUUAUGCAAGCUGGGUUUCACCCCAACGUGGAUUGAUUCUGUGAUGAGGUGUGUGACGAAUGUUCGUUAUGCGGUCAGAGUUAAUGGGGAGCUUAAUGAUCCGGUGGUACCCUCCAAGGGCAUCCGCCAAGGAGAUCCAAUCAGUCCCUACCUAUUCCUCUUAUGCACUGAAGGUUUGUCUAAUCUGCUGGUUCAGAAGGAGAGUUGUGGUGAGCUACAUGGGAUCCUAAAUGGCCGUCAAGGUCCACCUGUUGGGGAACGUAGUAAUUUCAAAAAAAUUCCUACGAACACGCAAGAUCAUGGUGAUGCAUAG